UCACAAUGAUGCAUUGGUAAUAUCCUUACUUAUACAUUACAUUGAUGUAAACUGAGUUUUGAUUGAUCCAGAAAGUUCUGCAAAUAUCACUCUACUAAGGGUACUGUGGAAAAUGCAAGCUGAAGAUAAAAUGAUACCCAAGGCGCAUACUUUGUCGGGCUUCGACAAUUCAAAUGUGGUAACAAAAGGUGAGGUAAUUCUAACAACUUUUGCGCAGGUGUUAUAAAAGAAACUAAGUUUCAGGUAGUUGAUAUGGAUACGGUGUGCAACAUAAUCAUGGGGAGACCCUGGAUCCAUGAUAUGGAUGUUGUUCCAUCAACUUUUUCAUCAAGUUAUUAAGUUUCCAUCACCCUGGGGAAUACGUCAAAUUUGAGGAGAUCAACAAGCAGCCAGGAGUAUAAAAGCCGUAACAGAUACGAGUACCGCGAGUAAAGAGAAAUAGCAAUUAGAGGAAACAAUUGGAGGUGUCAACAAUCAAACUUCAACUGAAUAACAAAAAAUAGAUUUAGACUCAAGACAUGAUGUAAUUCAAGAACCUGAAGAAAAUGAGAACAUUAAAACAACAAUAGAGGAGCUUGAGGCUGUGGUGCUAUUUGAGCAAUGGCCUGAAAGAAAGGUUUGCGUAGGAGCCAAUCUAAAUCCCGACAUGCAAGGUAUGUUAAUUGAGUUUUUAAAAGCUAACGUGGAUUGUUUUGCUUGGUCCCACGCUGAUAUGACAUGAAUACCACCUGAUGUGAUGACUCACAAACUCAACGAGGACCCAUCUUUCAUACCUAUAAAGCAAAAGAAAAAAAAGCAAGGUGCAUUAAAGAAUCAGGUAAUUCAAGAUAAAGUCCAAAAAUUAUUAAAGAUUGGAUCAAUCUGCGAGGUAAAGUAUCCUAAUUGGUUAGCUAAUACGGUGGUCGUACCUAAAAAGAACGGUAAGUGGCAUGUUUGUGUGGAUAAUACUGAUCUAAACAAAGCUUGCCCAAAAGACUCUUUCCCUUUACCGCAUAUAGAUCAAUUAAUUGACGCAAUCGCAGGUCAUGAACUUCUAAGCUUUUUAGAUGCAUAUUCGGGAUAUAAUCAAAUUAAAAUGGAUCCUGAUGAUGAUGAAAAAACUUCUUUCAUCAUAGACAGGGGGACUUACAGUUAUAAAGUAAUGCCCUUUGGUCACAAAAAUGGAGCAACCUAUCAAAGGUUAGUCACCAAAAUGUUUCAAGAACUUUUGGGACAAACUAUGGAGGUAUAUAUAGACGAUAUGCUCGUCAAAACCCAUCAUUCUCACGAUCAUAUUUCUCACUUAACUAUUACAUUUGAAAUUUUACGGAAAUUUAACAUGAAACUCAACCCAGAAAAGUGUGCAUUUGNNNNNNNNNNNNNNNNNNNNNNNNNNNNNNNNNNNNNNNNNNNNNNNNNNNNNNNNNNNNNNNNNNNNNNNNNNNNNNNNNNNNNNNNUAAGUAAAUUCUUGGGUUUUCUUGUUUCUAACCGUGGCAUUGAAGUAAAUCCUUCUCAGAUAAAGCAAUAGAAGAAAUACCUGAUAUCCUUACCAAUAAGAAGGUGGUUCAAAGACUAACGGUAAGGAUUGCCGCCUUGGGAAAAUAUUUUACGUUCUUUUCUGCUUUCAAAAAGGAAGAUCAUUUUGAGUGGAACGAAGAUUGUCAACAAGCCCUUAGGAGCUUGAAAGCUUACUUAUCAAAUCCUCCACUGUUGGCGAAACCAAAGGAAGGUGAAACAUGCUUAUCUACUUAGCAGUAUCAGAAGUUGCGGUAAGUGCUAUUUUGGUACGUCUUUAUUAUGUAAGCAAAUCUUUAUUAGAUGUUGAGACACGAUAUCCACAACUAGAAAAGUAAGCACUAGCUUUGAUCAUGGCAUCUAGGAAAUUAAGACCUUAUUUUCAAUGUCAUCCAAUUGUCUCAGGUUCUUUCAAAUUGGGGACUUCGUUCUAAAAAAGUGUUCCAAUCUACGAAGACAACUAAUUCAGGAAAGCUAAGUCCAACGUGGGAAGGACCUUAAUUUCUUUUCCAUUACGAAACAUUUUGCAUAAACAUGAAUUAUCAGGAAGAUUAGCAAAAUAGGCUAUAGAAUUAAGUGGGUAUGAAAUUAUUUAUCAACCUAGGACUGCUAUAAAAUCUCAAGUUCUCGUUGAUUUCGUAGCGGAUUUUUGUCAAGGGAUGCAUUUAGAAGCGGAAAGAAAUUACAAGUCUUUAAUGGAAUAAACCCAGGAACUUGGAUUUUGUGUACUGAUGGUUCAUCUAAUGUAAAAGGAGCAUGUUUAGGAAUUGUUCUUAAACCACCUAUGGGUAAGACCAUUAGACAGGCUAAAAUAUCACCUAUAAUUAAUAAUGAAGCAUAGUGAGCAGGCUUAGGAAUUGUUCUUAAACCACCUACGGGUAAGACCAUUAGACAGGCUAUAAAAUGUCACCCUGUAACUAACAAUGAAGCAGAGUAUGAAGCUGUGAUUACAGGUUUAGAGUUGGUACUGGAACUUGGCAUCACACAUAUUAUAAUCAAGAGUGAUUCACAGCUCGUGGUAAAUCAAAUACUGGGGACUUAUGUAGCAAGGGAAACACGAAUGCAAGAGUAUCUCGAAAAGGUACGAGAACUGAUAAGACAGUUCCAAACUUGGAAGGUAAUGCAAAUCCCAAGAGAGGAGAACGCGGAGGCAGAUGCUCUAGCUAAUCUUGCAUCUACGGCAGACAUAGAAAAUGACGCAAAUGCUUCAAUCAUACAUUUAUUCCAUUUAGUUCUCGAACCUGACAAAAAUGGGGUAAAUUUUAAUCACUUAACUUGGGAUUGGAGAAACGAAAUAGUAAUUUUUUGCAGCAUGGAACCGUUCUUGAGGAUAAAAUAAAGGUUCAUGCACUUCGAAAGAAAGCUGCUUGUUAUUGCCUAUAUCAAGGAAACCUUUACCGAAAAAUGUUUGGUGCUCCAUUAGCAAGGUGUCACGAUCCUUCUCAAACGGAGUAUGUGAUAAGAGAAAUACAUGAGAGACAUUGUGGAAAUCAUGCAUGAGGCAUGUCACUUGUAAAGACAUUGAUUCAAGCAGGAUACUAUUGGCCUAAAAUGGAAGAGAAAGCGAAUGAUUUCGUGUCUAAAUGUGACAGAUGUCAAAGAUACGGUAACAAUAUGCAUAGACCAGCCGAAUUAUUACAUCAUGUUGUAUCUCUGUGGCCCUUCAUGAAAUGGGGGAUAGACAUCGUAAGUCCAUUACCACAAGCAAAAGGUCAGGUAAAGUUUUUACUCGUACUUACUGAUUAUUUCACUAAAUAGGUAGAGGGCAUUCAAACAGGUACGAUAGAAAGAGGUUAAAGAUUUUAUCUGGAGAAACAUCAUAUGUCGCUUAGGGGUACCAAAGGAAAUCGUAUGUGAUAAUGGUCCACAAUUCAUAGGAGCACAAAUCAGGAGUUCUUCCAAAGUUGGCAAAUUAAAAGGAUAACUUCAAGAACAUACCAUCCUGUAAGCAAUGGAUAAGUGGGAUCCACAAACAAAGUCAUAAUCAAUAUUUUAAAGAAAAGAUUGCAAGACUCAAAAGGCAAUUGGCCUGAAGUGUUACCUGCAAUACUAUGGGCGUAUCGAACAACAACGAAAACAAGCACGGGAGAAACGCCAUUUUCAAUGGUUUAUAGAGCAGGGGCCUUAAUACUAGUAGAGAUCGGGGAACUAAGCACAAGGUACGUUGUUUCAACGGAAGACUCAAACAAUGAAGAGUUACGAGUGAAUCUUGAUUUACAUUACCCCGAAGGAUAAUGUAUAAGGGAGUUUUUCCACUUUAAGUGACAUUAUUCAAAAUGGGAUUAUUUCUUUAUUUUUAGAGUCGCCACUUGGGAUAAGAUUGGCUUUUGGUGUCCCAAGUCACCGGUUUAAAUUGAAUCCCAAAUCGAGGAAAAUUUCGACUUCCAGUUGGAGUCUGCAAACCAGAAAUUCUAAGCAAGGAAUUCUGUUGACCCGAGGGAAGGUGUUAGGCACCCUUGGAUUCCGUGGUUCUAGCAUGGUUGCUUAAACUAUUACAAAUGGCUAAAAUCUGAUUUUUAUACAUGUUCCAACCUAUAGUGCGAUUUAAAGAUUAUUUACCGCUUUUAAUUUGAUUUUAAAGAAAGUGAACGUCAGUUUAAAAACGUGCUUUUCGAUCACGUCACAUGGAAUGCACCCGGAUCCUCGAAAUAUUCUUAUUCGACGUUUUUGGAUUUGGAUUUAGGUUGCAUGAAAUGCACACCUGUAUUUAAGAAGGUAAUUUUAUUUAAGUAACAGACCUAAAGCAACUAACGUGUUUAUUAUCUUUGCGAGGGCCAUGAUAAUUUGCUAAAUGACAUGCCUCGGAUUUCUAUGCAGUAAAGUUAAUCAAGUGAGGGCCAUGUGUUUUGAGAUUUUAAUUGACAUGGCACACCUCAAAUUAUAACAAAAACAACAACAACCCAGUAUAACCUCACCUAGUGGGGUCUGGGGAGGUUAGUAUGUACGCAGAUCUUACCCCUACACUUGGGUAGAGAGGUUGUUUCCAAAUAGAUCCCCGGCAUCCUUCCCCCCAAGAACUUCCUACCUUGCUCUUGGGGAGACUCGAACUCAGAACCUCUCUGUUGAAAGUGGGGGUUGCUUACCAUCAGAGCAACCCCUCUCGUCAUGGCACACCUCAAAUUAUUCCUAAGAAUUUAUGACUUAAUUAAAGCAGACUACGAUGUUCUUAAUUUGUUAUUUCCCUAAACUUUGGUUUAAAACAAUAGGCUUAAUAAAACCAGAUUCAAACCAUAUGUAUCAAAUUGAAUCUACUGGGCAUCACCUUAGUGUAAAUGCAUAAAAGAAAAAUGGAAGGAAAGGAAUCAUGAUACCGUGACAAAUUGCUCAUGAAAACUUAGAAGAAACAAUACACAUUUACGUGCAUUCGUAACCCAACAAUUGAAACAGUGCCAUGUUCACUUCGUACAUUACUACUAAAUUCUUUAUACAUGUACUUCCUCUCCAUCAUUAGUCCCACUACCGUUCAAAAUAAUUGAUCCAUUUCCCUUGUCAACACAUGAAAGAUAAUCCAAACCGACCAAUACUUUUCAGAAUCACCCCCACAAACUUUCCUCUACCCAAAAAGCAUACAAAUAUCAAUGAAUUUAACAGCCGGCCGCUACAGAUCAUAAAUGAAUAUAACAACUUUCUCGCUAAAAGAUCAUAAAUCAGCAUUAAGUUGACAGCACCAGAAACUAAUCAAAGGAGGAAAUUUCGGCAAGUUCAAUAGCUGGCAUAUUCAAUGUAAUCAAAGAAAAGUCUAGCUACUAGUGGCCUAGAACUUGAAUUCAAUUUAUUAAAUGCAGGAAAACUUCCCAUCCUUACAUACAACAAUGAAAUAAUUCUUCACGAUAUUAUGCAAAAGCCAGCAAUAUGAAUGAAUCAAUGGUAUCACAGUCCACAAUGCAACAGAUUAAAAGAGUUACUUAGAAAAUGUAAAAGGACUGAAAAAUAAACCAUAAACUUGAUUAUCCACUGAAACCAUAAAUACAGAGGAGUUCAGACUGACCUAUUUCAGCAAGGAAGUUAAUAUGAGCCAAAUAAGAGCAGCAAAUCAGUUCAAACAGCUCGGCAAAAUAGAUAGAGCAAAUGCAACAACAUAUAUCUGGCACAAACUUCAGAAUCCUAGAGAAUGAGAAGACGAGGCAGUAGCAACUUCAAACGAAUUUUCUCUUGAUUUUUUUGCUAGAGAUUUUCAUAUUCAAAGAUACCGGAAUCCGUGUAUAUUCUUUUUCCGGAUUCGAAACAAACUCGACAGCUUCACUAAACUAUGAAAAUUCCCCAAAAGUGUAGAACAACGAAUUGAAAUUGAACCCAACUUUGUAACCUUGAAUUUCAGAUCUGAUCUCUGUAAUUUCACGACCUUGCUAGAGGCCUAAGCAUGUGUGUCUUCUCAUGAAGUGUAUGAGCAGGAUGUAUAUAUGAGAAUGGAGAAGUUUCAGAGCUGCUUCCAUGGCAUUUUGGUUGUUUUUUCUAGCUGAUUUUGUGAUUUUGAGAUUGCGGCUGUUUUUGGGGUCGAUUGGUGAGUGUGUGUAUGUGUUAUGACUGAUUUUAUAUGGAGAGAAUGGAGGAGCAGGGGCCUUUUCGUUGAAGAUGAUGGGAGCACGCAGAAGAGGUCCAAGCUCCGAGUGAAACAAAAAUGAGGAAGGGGUCACGCUAUUUCCGUGUCACUAGCUCCCUCCCCGUUCUUUCGCGUGUUCUCUUUUAAUGAGGGAGGGGGGUCCGAU
This 6201-nucleotide long non-coding RNA is filed under the name Nicotiana benthamiana. RNAcentral's name for it is "long non-coding RNA (NBEN_LNC011553)". The record is from RNAcentral. Lineage: Eukaryota; Viridiplantae; Streptophyta; Magnoliopsida; Solanales; Solanaceae.